GAUGAACGCUGGCGGCGUGCCUAAUACAUGCAAGUAGAACGCUGAAGGAAGGAGCUUGCUCUUUCCGGAUGAGUUGCGAACGGGUGAGUAACGCGUAGGUAACCUGCCUGGUAGCGGGGGAUAACUAUUGGAAACGAUAGCUAAUACCGCAUAACAGUAGAUGUUGCAUGAUAUCUACUUAAAAGGUGCAAUUGCACCACUACCAGAUGGACCUGCGUUGUAUUAGCUAGUUGGUGAGGUAACGGCUCACCAAGGCGACGAUACAUAGCCGACCUGAGAGGGUGAUCGGCCACACUGGGACUGAGACACGGCCCAGACUCCUACGGGAGGCAGCAGUAGGGAAUCUUCGGCAAUGGACGGAAGUCUGACCGAGCAACGCCGCGUGAGUGAAGAAGGUUUUCGAAUCGUAAAGCUCUGUUGUAAGAGAAGAACGAGUGUGAGAGUGGAAAGUUCACACUGUGACGGUAUCUGACCAGAAAGGGACGGCUAACUACGUG
Molecule: ribosomal RNA, 497 nt
Filed under: uncultured bacterium
Lineage: Bacteria
Description: partial 16S ribosomal RNA
Rfam family: Bacterial small subunit ribosomal RNA
Source: RNAcentral